Molecule: unclassified non-coding RNA, 300 nt
Filed under: uncultured Ascomycota
Lineage: Eukaryota; Fungi; Ascomycota
Description: sequence contains 5.8S rRNA gene, ITS2
Rfam family: 5.8S ribosomal RNA (bases 1-96)
Source: RNAcentral
AGCGUCAGAUGUGUAUAAGAGACAGGUGAGUCAUCGAAUCUUUGAACGCACAUUGCGCCCUCUGGUAUUCCGGGGGGCAUGCCUGUUCGAGCGUCAUUACAACCCUCAAGCUCUGCUUGGUAUUAGGUCCUGCCCGCUGUGGCAGACCCCAAAAACAGUGGCUGUGCCCGCUGGGUUCCAAGCGUAGUAAUAUCUCUCGCUUUGGGACCCGCCGGGAACCUGCCAGAAGACACAUUUUUCAGGUUGACCUCGGAUCAGGUAGGGAUACCCGCUGAACUUAAGCAUAUCAAUAAGCGGAGG